ACGAACGCUGGCGGCGUGCUUAACACAUGCAAGUCGAACGGAAAGGCCCUGCUUUUGUGGGGUGCUCGAGUGGCGAACGGGUGAGUAACACGUGAGUAACCUGCCCUUGACUUUGGGAUAACUUCAGGAAACUGGGGCUAAUACCGGAUAGGAGCUCCUGCUGCAUGGUGGGGGUUGGAAAGUUUCGGCGGUUGGGGAUGGACUCGCGGCUUAUCAGCUUGUUGGUGGGGUAGUGGCUUACCAAGGCUUUGACGGGUAGCCGGCCUGAGAGGGUGACCGGCCACAUUGGGACUGAGAUACGGCCCAGACUCCUACGGGAGGCAGCAGUGGGGAAUAUUGCACAAUGGGCGGGAGCCUGAUGCAGCAACGCCGCGUGCGGGAUGACGGCCUUCGGGUUGUAAACCGCUUUCGCCUGUGACGAAGCGUGAGUGACGGUAAUGGGUAAAGAAGCACCGGCUAACUACG
RNAcentral lists this ribosomal RNA (465 nucleotides) under uncultured bacterium. RNAcentral describes it as "partial 16S ribosomal RNA". It matches the Rfam family "Bacterial small subunit ribosomal RNA", at positions 29 to 505 of the family's 1533-position model. The record is from RNAcentral.